UACGGGGGGGGCAAGCGUUGUUCGGAAUUACUGGGCGUAAAGGGCGCGUAGGCGGCCUGCUAAGUCGGGUGUGAAAACUCUGGGCUCAACCCAGAGCCUGCAUUCGAUACUGACGGGCUAGAGUUCUGGAGGGGAAAGCGGAAUUCCUGGUGUAGCGGCGAAAUGCGUAGAUAUCAGGAGGAACACCGGUGGCGAAGGCGGCUUUCUGGACAGAAACUGACGCUGAGGCGCGAAAGCUAGGGGAGCAAACAGG
Molecule: ribosomal RNA, 253 nt
Filed under: uncultured bacterium
Lineage: Bacteria
Description: partial 16S ribosomal RNA
Rfam family: Bacterial small subunit ribosomal RNA
Source: RNAcentral